AAUGAACGUUGGCGGCGUGGAUUAGGCAUGCAAGUCGAGCGAGAACCCCGCAAGGGGGGACAGCGGCAAACGGGGUAGUAAUGUGUCGGAACGUGCCCUCAGGUCGGGGAUAGCGGCGGGAAACUGCCGGUAAUACCCGAUGACCUCGAGAGAGCAAAGGUGUGACUCCGCCCGAGGAGCGGCCGACAUGGUAUUAGCUAGUUGGCGAGGUAACGGCCCACCAAGGCAAUGAUGCCUAGGGGAUGUGAGAGCAUGAUCCCCACCAUUGGGACUGAGAAACUGCCCAGACACCUACGGGUGGCUGCAGUCGAGAAUCUUCGUCAAUGGGCGAAAGCCUGAACGAGCGACGCCGCGUGCGGGAUGAAGGCCCUUGGGUUGUAAACCGCUGUCGAGGGGGAUGAAGGCAUUCAGGUACUCCUGAAUGUUUGACAGAGCCCUGGAGGAAGCACGGGCUAAGUUCGUGCCAGCCGCCGCCGUAAGAC
This 482-nucleotide ribosomal RNA is filed under the name uncultured bacterium. RNAcentral describes it as "bacterial SSU rRNA". It matches the Rfam family "Bacterial small subunit ribosomal RNA", at positions 29 to 526 of the family's 1533-position model. The record is from RNAcentral.